CGCGUGCAGGAAGACGCAUCUAGGUGUGUAAACUGCUUUUAUGUGGGAAAAACUUGCGAUGGUACCACAUGAAUAAGGGGCUGCUAACUUCGUGCCAGCAGCAGCGGUAAUACGAAGGCCCCGAGCGUUAUCCGGAUUUACUGGGCGUAAAGAGCUAAAAGGCUGUUUUGUAAGUCGAGUGUUAAAGCCCGGAGCUCAACUCCGGAUCUGCAUUCGAAACUACAAAGCUAGAGGACGGAAGAGGUAAGCGGAAUUGCUGGUGUAGCAGUAAAAUGCGUUAAUAUCAGCAGGAACACCGAUUGCGAAGGCUGCUUACUAGGACGCUCCUGACGCUAAAUAGCGAAAGUGUGGGUAGCGAAUGGGAUUAGAUACCCCAGUAGUCCACACCGUAAACGCUGGAUACUAGGUAUCGGGGGAUUCGACCCCCCCGGUAUCGUUAAGCUAACGCGUUAAGUAUCCCGCCUGGGGAGUACGACCGCAAGGUUAAAACUCAAAGGAAUUGACGGGGACCCGCACAAGCGGUGGAGCAUGUGGUUUAAUUCGACGCUAAGCGAGGAACCUUACCAAGGCUUGACAUCUCGAGAAAGCCUCCGAAAGGAGGCUGUGCCUUCGGGAACUCGAUGACAGGUGAUGCAUGGUUGUCGUCAGCUCGUGCUGUGAAGUGUACCCUUAAGUGGGGUAACGAGCGCAACCCUCACGUUAUGUUAAAUGUUCAUAACGGACUGCCGGGGAUAACCCGGAGGAAGGUGGGGAUGACGUCAAAUCAGCAUGUCCCUUAUGCCUUGGGCGACACACGUGCUACAAUGGGAAUGACAAUGGGCCGCCAAGUCGCAAGACGGAGCUAAUCCCACCAAACAUUCCCCCAGUUCGGAUUGCAGGCUGCAACUCGCCUGCAUGAAGUCGGAAUCGCUAGUAACCGCGUAUCAGCCAUGGCGCGGUGAAUACGUUCUCGGGUCUUGUACACACCGCCCGUCACAUCAGGGAAGCCGGUAAUGCCCGAAGGUCUCCAAGUAAUGGAGGACGAAGGUAGGACUGGUGACAAGGAUGAAGUCGUAACAAGGCACCCGUAGCGGAAGCUGUGGGUGGAUCACCUCCUUUCU
This 1100-nucleotide ribosomal RNA is filed under the name Candidatus Kerfeldbacteria bacterium CG_4_9_14_3_um_filter_45_8. RNAcentral's name for it is "bacterial SSU rRNA". It matches the Rfam family "Bacterial small subunit ribosomal RNA", at positions 398 to 1533 of the family's 1533-position model. The record is from RNAcentral. Lineage: Bacteria; Candidatus Kerfeldiibacteriota.